CAAAUUAUUUUCAAAGUUACAGCCGUUUUAGUGUCGGUGCUGGUAAAUUGACUGAUAAAGUAAUCACUCAGUUGUCUGCGUACUACGGAUUAGCUAUCCGUCGUCAUCCUGAAUCCGUUGAAGAUAUGAAACGAGAAAUAUGGACCACGUACUUGCAUAAAAUUUCAACUGAUAAGAAGCCUCAGCACAUGAAUUGCCCUCCUGGACCAGACAGCUGGUGCAAGUGGCAGAAAGCAGCGGUCGAAGGAACUGAGGAUGACUUUCACCAUGAAAAUCCACCUCUAACUGAUAAGGUUUUAAAAGUUAUGAAACCUAUUUACGAAUGCUUAUCAGAUGAUUCUUUAUUAGAACGUUGCUUGGGCAGCGAAACUCAAAAUAACAACGAGUCACUUAACUCUUUAAUAUAGACAUUUGCACCCAAACAUAUCCAUGCCGGGUCCCAGACAAUUGAGAUUGCUAAUUGUUUAGCAGUUUGCAUUUUCAAUGAAGGAUUUUAUCCUAUUUUACAAAUAAUGAGUCUAAUGGGAAUAAAAAUAGGUCUGGAAUCCCAUGGGUUUGCUGUUAGGCGCAACGCAGUAAGGAUUGAACGGUCUGAGGUUCGAGCUUCAGAUGCUUCAAAAGAGGAAAGAACUGCUCGUUAUACAGAGAAAAAUGCUGAAAACAGUCAAUAUGAAGUAGAGGAAGGCCCAAUAUAUGAAGCUGGGAUGGCUGAUUAAGAGAAUAUGGAUACAAAGGGAGAAAUCCUUUUCACGAGGACACGGCCUUUUUUUUUCUCUAC
This 778-nucleotide long non-coding RNA is filed under the name Cotesia glomerata. RNAcentral describes it as "uncharacterized LOC123266181". The record is from RNAcentral. Lineage: Eukaryota; Metazoa; Arthropoda; Insecta; Hymenoptera; Braconidae.